UUCUGUUUUAUACAUCUUAGAAAUUGAUAUCUGAUUUCACUAUUUUUAUUCGUUGUACAUCUUUAUUUAUUCUUGUUUUUAAGAUUUUUUUUUUUAAUUCUAUUUGUGUUCUAUUUUCAUUCAUUCUGUUUUUAUUGCUUUUAAACAUGAAACCGAAUGCCCUUGGUUUAGCUGCUGGACGUGUCCACGUUGUAUGCUGUCACAUACACAUGUCUCUGUGAACCCCACCUGGGCAUGUCCCAUCGCUCCUGCGCUGCCAGCACACAGCAGUGGAGGAAGCCAGAGCUGUGGUAUGAGCCACAAGAACAAAGCACAAAGGCAGUGGUGUGUUUGGCCAACACCACACUAAUGGGUCCAGCUGCAAGGUGCCAAAGGGUAGGAGCAGCCCAACAAGUUCUAGAUAGACAGCUUGUGUUCUGCUUCCUGCACGCAGCCCAGCUUCUCCAGUCUUGCCGGAGUGUUUGAUUAAACAUUUAGAGUGAAAUAAAACAAAAUUUCAAUUGUUGUAUCUCA
Molecule: long non-coding RNA, 513 nt
Filed under: Numida meleagris (helmeted guineafowl)
Lineage: Eukaryota; Metazoa; Chordata; Aves; Galliformes; Numididae
Description: lncRNA (ENSNMEG00000007345.1)
Source: RNAcentral